AAAAUGUUUCCACCUGGUCUUACACCAAAGCACUACGCCCACUUUGAAGACAGAGAAAUAGUUAGACUAGGACACCUUUACCCCAAUGGUAAGCUCCUACAAUACGCAGAUGUUCCCAACUCGGAAUCAUUAACUACCUAUGACUACUUUCGAUACCUCCAACUCCGUAGCUUUGCAGCAACAGACACGGUUCGCAUGGCAGCCACCUCGACCCUGACAGGGUUCGAGAGGGACACUCUCCACUCCCCGGCCAGAAAGAGCCAAAUAUCAAACCUCUACACAGCCCUAACCACACAUCACACCCAAAUAGCACUACCAUACAUCGCAGCAUGGGAGAGAGACUUGGGGCCCCCUGAGGACCCCACCGACUGG
Molecule: non-coding RNA, 372 nt
Organism: Pelobates cultripes (western spadefoot toad)
Lineage: Eukaryota; Metazoa; Chordata; Amphibia; Anura; Pelobatidae
Source: the annotation of a GenBank genome assembly